AUGGGGUCUCACUUUGUCGACGGUAGCUCGGAAGGCAGGGAAGGCUGGAAGGAUGUGGAGCGCCGCUUCGACGAGAUGAACAAGGCCGGGCGCAUCCCAAAGGAGAGCUUCGGCAAGUGCAUCGGCUAUUAUAUUGAGCGCGUCGGCGAACAAGCUGAAGAUCGACGCCGCCGCCUACGCGCCACUGGUCAUGGAAGAGCUCGACCCCGACCACCGUGGCUACAUCGAGAUGUCGCAGCUGGAGACGCUGUUGCGUGGGGCGGUGAGCGCGCGGGCGCCGGAGGACGAGGUGCAGUUGGAGAGGAGGUCACGGCUGGUCCGGUCGAUGACGGCCUGCGGGAACUGGAUGCACCUGAUAGUCCCUGUCCUCUUGUCUGCCUGCCAGGGAAUUAUCAGAAAGGUUCGCUGGAACAAUGA
RNAcentral lists this ribosomal RNA (417 nucleotides) under Triticum aestivum (bread wheat). RNAcentral's name for it is "partial small subunit ribosomal RNA". Lineage: Eukaryota; Viridiplantae; Streptophyta; Magnoliopsida; Poales; Poaceae. The record is from RNAcentral.